RNAcentral lists this ribosomal RNA (492 nucleotides) under uncultured bacterium. RNAcentral's name for it is "bacterial SSU rRNA". It matches the Rfam family "Bacterial small subunit ribosomal RNA", at positions 501 to 992 of the family's 1533-position model. The record is from RNAcentral.
CUACGUGCCAGCAGCCGCGGUAAUACGUAGGUCCCGAGCGUUGUCCGGAAUUACUGGGCGUAAAGCGCACGCAGGCGGUCUGUCAAGUCGGAUGUGAAAUCCCCGGGCUCAACCUGGGAACUGCAUUCGAAACUGGCAGGCUAGAGUCUUGUAGAGGGGGGUAGAAUUCCAGGUGUAGCGGUGAAAUGCGUAGAGAUCUGGAGGAAUACCGGUGGCGAAGGCGGCCCCCUGGACAAAGACUGACGCUCAGGUGCGAAAGCGUGGGGAGCAAACAGGAUUAGAUACCCUGGUAGUCCACGCCGUAAACGAUGUCGACUUGGAGGUUGUGCCCUUGAGGCGUGGCUUCCGGAGCUAACGCGUUAAGUCGACCGCCUGGGGAGUACGGCCGCAAGGUUAAAACUCAAAUGAAUUGACGGGGGCCCGCACAAGCGGUGGAGCAUGUGGUUUAAUUCGAUGCAACGCGAAGAACCUUACCUACUCUUGACAUCCAGA